UACAGAGGUGGCAAGCGUUGUUCGGAAUUACUGGGCGUAAAGGGCGCGUAGGCGGUUCGUUAAGUCCUGUGUGAAAUCCCCGGGCUCAACCUGGGAAUUGCGAUGGAGACUGCAAGGCUAGAAUCUGGCAGAGGGGGGUAGAAUUCCACGUGUAGCAGUGAAAUGCGUAGAGAUGUGGAGGAACACCGAUGGCGAAGGCAGCCCCCUGGGUCAAGAUUGACGCUCAUGCACGAAAGCGUGGGGAGCAAACAGG
RNAcentral lists this ribosomal RNA (253 nucleotides) under uncultured bacterium. Its description in RNAcentral is "partial 16S ribosomal RNA". It matches the Rfam family "Bacterial small subunit ribosomal RNA", at positions 524 to 776 of the family's 1533-position model. The record is from RNAcentral.